This 990-nucleotide long non-coding RNA is filed under the name Brassica rapa (field mustard). Its description in RNAcentral is "long non-coding RNA (BRAP_LNC002783)". Lineage: Eukaryota; Viridiplantae; Streptophyta; Magnoliopsida; Brassicales; Brassicaceae. The record is from RNAcentral.
ACACUACAAGAAAACAUUAAUUUAGAGACUGCAUUUGCAACUGUGCUCUGUAGUUGCAAAGAUGUGUGACUAAUUUCUAAUGAAUUUGCAACCAUUAAGUGACUACGGUUUAUGAAUAGUAAUUUAGUUGCAAUUUUGUGACCAAUACUUGUGGUGGUAAUUUCGUUGCUUAUUUAUGACCUAUUUGCAACUCAGUUGCAACUAAAUGGUGUAAUUGCAAAAUAGUGUCAAAAAAAACAACGUAUUUAGGACCAAAGUAUACAGUUACAAAUACGUAGUUACAAAUUAGUUGCUAAUAUAAAUUAAAUUGCGUAGUUGCAAAUAAGUAACUAUAUUUUGGGACACUUGUGUGACUUUAAUCAAAAGAGUAGUAUUUUAGUGGCUAAUAUGGUUUUGAAAACACAGGCCGCCACAGUUAUAUAGAGAUUAUAACUAUUUCACGACUAUGAACAGACAUUUAUAACAAAGUAAAGCAACUUUUCAGUUUUCUGCUAUAGAAACUUAUUUGCUAAAAAUAGUUUAGCUGAUAUUAAUAAUUUGUUUUUUUCAAUAGAAAAGCAUCAGUUAUCAUGUCCGAGUGUAGUAGAAGAGUAGUUGUACUAUUUGCUACAUAUUUUGCAGUAUAGUUAGGUUUAGUGUUUAGGGUGUUUUCACUCAAAAUUGUAAAUUUAAUAUUUUCUUGUAGAUUUCUAUAAUUUUAAUACGAACUCAACAUCACAAACAUAUAUAUAUAUAUAUAUAUAUAUAUAGUAACAUUUAUGAUUUUGCCCUUAUUAUGUGAUUUUUAAAAAAAUUAAAAGAGUAAUCUUAUUUUGUGACUAAUUUACUACUAUAAGCAUUUGUAACUAACUUGUGACCAACAAUAUUUGUAUUCAGCCACUCAACACACUAUAAGCAUCUGUAACUAACUUGUGACUUCAAAUAUAAAAGGAGUUACAAUGAAGUAUCAAGUAUACAGUCCCAAAAAAAUUCAAGUUUAUAUAGUCAUUU